UACGUAGGGUGCGAGCGUUAAUCGGAAUUACUGGGCGUAAAGCGUGCGCAGGCGGUUUUGUAAGCCAGAUGUGAAAUCCCCGGGCUUAACCUGGGAAUGGCAUUUGGGACUGCAAGGCUUGAGUGCGGCAGAGGAGACUGGAAUUCCUGGUGUAGCAGUGAAAUGCGUAGAUAUUGGGAGGAACACCGGUGGCGAAGGCGGCCCCCUGGACCGGUACUGACGCUGAGGCGCGAAAGCGUGGGUAGCAAACGGG
RNAcentral lists this ribosomal RNA (253 nucleotides) under uncultured bacterium. RNAcentral describes it as "partial 16S ribosomal RNA". It matches the Rfam family "Bacterial small subunit ribosomal RNA", at positions 524 to 776 of the family's 1533-position model. The record is from RNAcentral.